This 466-nucleotide ribosomal RNA is filed under the name uncultured bacterium. Its description in RNAcentral is "partial 16S ribosomal RNA". It matches the Rfam family "Bacterial small subunit ribosomal RNA", at positions 28 to 507 of the family's 1533-position model. The record is from RNAcentral.
GACGAACGCUGGCGGCGUGCUUAACACAUGCAAGUCGAACGGAAAGGCCCUGCUUGCAGGGUACUCGAGUGGCGAACGGGUGAGUAACACGUGGGUGAUCUGCCCUGCACUUCGGGAUAAGCUUGGGAAACUGGGUCUAAUACCGGAUAGGAGCCAUCUUUAGUGUGGUGGUUGGAAAGUUUUUUCGGUGUAGGAUGAGCUCGCGGCCUAUCAGCUUGUUGGUGGGGUAAUGGCCUACCAAGGCGGCGACGGGUAGCCGGCCUGAGAGGGUGUACGGCCACAUUGGGACUGAGAUACGGCCCAGACUCCUACGGGAGGCAGCAGUGGGGAAUAUUGCACAAUGGGCGCAAGCCUGAUGCAGCGACGCCGCGUGGGGGAUGAAGGCCUUCGGGUUGUAAACUCCUUUCGCUAGGGACGAAGCUUUUUUGUGACGGUACCUAGAGAAGAAGCACCGGCUAACUACGCG